AGACUCUGUUGGCAGCUGGUGGGGGCAGAUGUUUUUCCCAGGCGGUGGUGAAAAUAUGCUUAGCAGGAGACAUGGCUGCGUUCUCACGAAGUGGGCCUGGUACCCCAUGAGCUUCUUGAAUGUUUGUUCUGCACUCAUCCAAUCCCUCAGAGCAGCCCAGUCAGGGAAGAAGAGUUUUCAAAACCCUCAAGGAGCUGUGGCCUCUCUUGCCCACAGCCAUCUGUGUAUCUACCUCUCCGCAGGUGCGGGUCUUGCUCCCCUACCUUUUUGUGUAUUGUGGAAGAUACUGUCAAAUUAGGGGUGGCUUAGGGUUGGGUAGAUGUUUCUGUGCUCUGUCUACCAUGAUUCUGUGUCUUGGCCAAAGAUAGGCGCAGAUAGACUCCACCAAUCCCAAUGCUUCCUAGCUCUGGACUCUGUCGCAUAAACUGGAAAAAGAACUUUAAAACACGCUCAGGAGCACAAUUGGCCUUCAGAGCCGUCCCUUUUAAAGAUUUACUCUAGUGCUGUAUACAGGGGUGUGCAGGAGUCCGCGCAUGCUACUUGUGAGAACCAAUUGUGUGCAUCUCUUCCCAACUGUUGUUUAUCACAUUAGUAGCUUAAGAUUGGCCAUUGUAGGAGUUUUACACCACAGAAAUAGCCGAACGCUACAAAUCAGGGUGGCUUUUUUUUUUUUUUAUGGAGAAAAAUCUACAGCAUACCAAUGGCUAUGCUUAAAACAACAUUUUAUUGUCUCUCCCAGUUUCUGUGGGACAGGAAAUUGAGAGGGGCUUGAUUAAAUGGUCCUGGGUCUCUUAUGCAGUUACAGUCAGACAGUGUGGCUGGGGCUGGGAGAGGGGGAGGGUGAGCAGCUGGGGGUUGACUGGGAAUCUCUCACCCUUUGUUGUCACGUGGUUUCUGCAUGUAGGAUAGCUUGGGCUUCCUCACAACAUGGCAGUCAGAACAGUCAGAGUGAUUCUCAGGGCUCCAGUUAGUUUUCUGUUGCCAUGGCAGAGCUGAAUUGCUUUAUGAUCUGGCUACUGAAGUCUGACAACAUUACUUCCACUGCAUUCUAUUGAGUACAUGUGAGUCAGAAGCCCAUCCUGUUUUAAGGGGAGAGGAAUUACACUCCACCUCUCAAUGGGUGAAUGGCAGGAAAGACCCUUCUUGCGCUUAGGAACACCAGACGGCACUUCAGCACUGUGCCUAGGGGCCAUUUUAAACAGCGAAAUCAUCAAGAAAAAAGCACAAAAAUGAGAAAAAUGUUGCACUAAACAGAGCAUGAAAGGACAUUUGCUCAUAGUGUGAGAGCUGAACAUGCACAUACGUGUUCAUCACUCUGCGCUUGUCUGUGAAUGACCGUGAACAUGCUGCAAGUCUUGAUUUGGGGGUUACAAGUUAAUUUUAUCAAGUAGAAGAAUUUGCCAACAUGGAAUUUAUGAACAAUGAGGAUCAAUUAUAUAUAUUUUUGGUGUCAGAGAAGAGCUCACGAUGGAACCCCGUACACUUGUUUGGGAGGGGAGUUCGGUUGUGUGCACCUAAAAUCUUUGAUGCUGGGAGUCCAACUUUGGAAACUUAUCUGGAGAAAAUUAUCAGGCAAAUGAGUGAAUGAUUGUGUACAAGGAUGUUCAUUUAUAAUUUAAUGAAACACUAUGCAAUCAUGAAAAUGCAUUGAUGAAUAUUUAUUAACAUGAAAAAUUUAUGAAAUGCAAAAUGAAAAUACAGUCAAACAAUAUACACAUCAUAGGCCCAUUUUUGUGAUUAAUAUAUUUUAUUUACGAUGUCUAAAACAGAUAUAUUUAGUUUAUAAUCCAGAUAUUUUCAAUUUCUGAGUAGAAAAAAUUCUGAAAUUAUAUAUAUUACUAAGGUACCAUGUCUGGGAGUUGGGAUUAUAGAACAAUUUAGUUUUGUUCUUUGUACUUUUCCGUGUUUUCUAAAUUUGUUUACAGUGAAAGAACUGCUUCUAUAAUUAGAAAUGUAUUGUUUCACAAUGAAGAUUUUUAAGGUUCUUACUCUCUGCCAGGCAUAGGGCUAAGUUCCUUAACUCUUGAAUUUUUAUUAAAAUUGUAUGAAACAAUCAUUUAUAUUUCACUAUUUAUAAUAAAAAUAGAAAAAACCUCAAGAUUCCCUAGCCUCAUUCCUCAGAUUUGGAAGGCCCUCGAAGGCCAGCUCCCCCCGACACAUCUUGCUGCCAUUCUGGGAACCGGAAUCAGAGGUGGAGACUCUGGCCCAAGUCCCCACUGCUCAGAAAAGUGCUG
This 2234-nucleotide long non-coding RNA is filed under the name Homo sapiens (human). Its description in RNAcentral is "HSALNT0360332". The record is from RNAcentral. Lineage: Eukaryota; Metazoa; Chordata; Mammalia; Primates; Hominidae.